RNAcentral lists this ribosomal RNA (335 nucleotides) under uncultured bacterium. RNAcentral's name for it is "partial 16S ribosomal RNA". It matches the Rfam family "Bacterial small subunit ribosomal RNA", at positions 338 to 687 of the family's 1533-position model. The record is from RNAcentral.
CCUACGGGAGGCAGCAGUGGGGAAUAUUGGGCAAUGGGCGCAAGCCUGACCCAGCAACGCCGCGUGAAGGAAGAAGGCUUUCGGGUUGUUAACUUCUUUUGUCAGGGACGAAACAAGUGACGGUAGCUGACGAAUAAGCCACGGCUAACUACGUGCCAGCAGCCGCGGUAAUACGUAGGUGGCAAGCGUUAUCCGGAUUUACUGGGUGUAAAGGGCGUGUAGGCGGGACUGCAAGUCAGAUGUGAAAACGACGGGCUCAACCUGUGGCCUGCAUUUGAAACUGUAGUUAUUGAGUACUGGAGAGGCAGACGGAAUUUCUAGUGUAGGGGUGAAAU